UACGUAGGGUGCGAGCGUUAAUCGGAAUUACUGGGCGUAAAGCGUGCGUAGGCGGUUCGUUAUGUCUGCUGUGAAAGCCCCGGGCUUAACCUGGGAAUGGCAGUGGAAACUGGCGGGCUUGAGUGUGGCAGAGGGGGGUGGAAUUCCGCGUGUAGCAGUGAAAUGCGUAGAGAUGCGGAGGAACACCGAUGGCGAAGGCAGCCCCCUGGGCUGACACUGACGCUGAGGCACGAAAGCGUGGGGAGCGAACGGG
RNAcentral lists this ribosomal RNA (253 nucleotides) under uncultured bacterium. RNAcentral describes it as "partial 16S ribosomal RNA". It matches the Rfam family "Bacterial small subunit ribosomal RNA", at positions 524 to 776 of the family's 1533-position model. The record is from RNAcentral.